RNAcentral lists this ribosomal RNA (253 nucleotides) under uncultured bacterium. RNAcentral describes it as "partial 16S ribosomal RNA". It matches the Rfam family "Bacterial small subunit ribosomal RNA", at positions 524 to 776 of the family's 1533-position model. The record is from RNAcentral.
UACGUAGGGAGCAAGCGUUGUUCGGAAUUACUGGGCGUAAAGGGCUCGUAGGUGGCCAACUAAGUCAGACGUGAAAUCCCUCGGCUUAACCGGGGAACUGCGUCUGAUACUGGAUGGCUUGAGUUUGGGAGAGGGAUGCGGAAUUCCAGGUGUAGCGGUGAAAUGCGUAGAUAUCUGGAGGAACACCGGUGGCGAAGGCGGCAUCCUGGACCAACACUGACACUGAGGAGCGAAAGCCAGGGGAGCAAACGGG